CAAACUAUCGGUAUCUGCGUUUAUAAUGGCCGAUAAAUUAAUAUUUAAAAAAAUAAAAUAAAAACGGACGAAACCCCCUUCAACCAUGUUCUGAGUGUUGGCGUUGCAGAGUUUGACCACCAGAGGACGCUCUACAACCUCCCUGUUGGUAAACACUGUUUUUUUUAAAU
Sander lucioperca (pikeperch) is the source of this 170-nucleotide long non-coding RNA. RefSeq lists it as uncharacterized. The record is from RefSeq and is a predicted model, not a curated record. NCBI's taxonomy places the organism in Eukaryota, Metazoa, Chordata, Actinopteri, Perciformes, Percidae. The transcript is spliced from 3 exons.